AGAACGAACGCUGGCGGCAGGCUUAACACAUGCAAGUCGAACGCUCGUAGCAAUACGGGAGUGGCAGACGGGUGAGUAACGCGUGGGAACAUACCCUCCGGUUCGGAAUAGCUCAGGGAAACUUGGAUUAAUACCGGAUACGGCCGAGAGGCGAAAGAUUUAUCGCCGGAGGAUUGGCCCGCGUUCGAUUAGCUAGUUGGUGAGGUAACGGCUCACCAAGGCGAUGAUCGAUAGCUGGUCUGAGAGGAUGAUCAGCCACAUUGGGACUGAGACACGGCCCAAAACUCCUACGGGAGGCAGCAGUGGGAAUAUUGGACAAUGGGCGCAAGCCUGAUCCAGCCAUGCCGCGUGAGUGAUGACGGCCUUAGGGUUGUAAAAGCUCUUUCGCUCGGGACGAUAAUGACGGUACCGAGAUAAAGAAGCCCGGCUAACUUCGUGCCAGCAGCCGC
This 449-nucleotide ribosomal RNA is filed under the name uncultured bacterium. RNAcentral describes it as "SSU rRNA". It matches the Rfam family "Bacterial small subunit ribosomal RNA", at positions 26 to 518 of the family's 1533-position model. The record is from RNAcentral.